This is a long non-coding RNA of Oncorhynchus gorbuscha (pink salmon), 213 nucleotides long. RefSeq lists it as uncharacterized. The record is from RefSeq and is a predicted model, not a curated record. The transcript has 3 exons. NCBI's taxonomy places the organism in Eukaryota, Metazoa, Chordata, Actinopteri, Salmoniformes, Salmonidae.
GCUGCCGUGUCGGCCCUCCAGGAUCUCAGGUUCACAGAGAACGGGGUGGUGGCGACCACCACAGAAGGGCUGGAUCCCACAGCGGUUAACAUCCUGCAGCAGAUCAUUGAGCUGGGGGCAGAGUCUAAUGAUGCCACAGCAGCCUCCAUGGUGGCCAUGGUCCCUGGCAGAGUGACUGUGGUGGAGCAGGUGGCUGAGGAGGAGGAGCAGGGA